RNAcentral lists this ribosomal RNA (125 nucleotides) under uncultured diatom. Its description in RNAcentral is "partial 18S ribosomal RNA". It matches the Rfam family "Eukaryotic small subunit ribosomal RNA", at positions 396 to 520 of the family's 1831-position model. Lineage: Eukaryota; Bacillariophyta. The record is from RNAcentral.
CUGAGAGACAGCUAUACAUCCCAGGAAAGGGGCACGCGCGUAAAUUUCACAAUCCUGACACACGGAGGUAGUGACAAUAAAUAACAAUGCUGGGCCUCUCUAGGUUUUGGGAAUUGGAAUGAGAA